GACGAACGCUGGCGGCGUGCUUAACACAUGCAAGUCGAACGGAAAGGCCCUGCUUUUGUGGGGUGCUCGAGUGGCGAACGGGUGAGUAACACGUGAGUAACCUGCCCUUGACUUUGGGAUAACUUCAGGAAACUGGGGCUAAUACCGGAUAGGAGCUCCUGCUGCAUGGGGGGGGUUGGAAAGUUUCGGCGGUUGGGGAUGGACUCGCGGCUUAUCAGCUUGUUGGUGGGGUAGUGGCUUACCAGGGCUUUGACGGGUAGCCGGCCUGAGAGGGUGACCGGCCCCAUUGGGACUGCGAUACGGCCCAGACUCCUACGGGAGGCAGCAGUGGGGAAUAUUGCACAAUGGGCGGAAGCCGGAUGCAGCAACGCCGCGUGCGGGAUGACGGCCUUCGGGUUGUAAACCGCUUUCGCCUGUGACGAAGCGUGAGUGACGGUAAUGGGUAAAGAAGCACCGGCUAACUACGUG
This 468-nucleotide ribosomal RNA is filed under the name uncultured bacterium. Its description in RNAcentral is "partial 16S ribosomal RNA". It matches the Rfam family "Bacterial small subunit ribosomal RNA", at positions 28 to 507 of the family's 1533-position model. The record is from RNAcentral.